GCAGUGGUGGUUUAGUGGUACAACUCUCGCCUUCCGUGCGGGAAACCAGGGUUCGAUUCCUGGCCAGUGCA
This is a transfer RNA of Loxodonta africana (African savanna elephant), 71 nucleotides long. It matches the Rfam family "tRNA". Rfam says of the family: Transfer RNA (tRNA) molecules are approximately 80 nucleotides in length. NCBI's taxonomy places the organism in Eukaryota, Metazoa, Chordata, Mammalia, Proboscidea, Elephantidae. The record is from Rfam.